RNAcentral lists this ribosomal RNA (754 nucleotides) under Prevotella sp. Its description in RNAcentral is "partial 23S ribosomal RNA". It matches the Rfam family "Bacterial large subunit ribosomal RNA", at positions 1118 to 1940 of the family's 2925-position model. Lineage: Bacteria; Pseudomonadati; Bacteroidota; Bacteroidia; Bacteroidales; Prevotellaceae. The record is from RNAcentral.
AUCCUUCAAAGAGUGCGUAACAGCUCACUAGUCGAGUAUCUCUGCGCCGAAAAUUAACCGGGGCUAAGCGUAAUACCGAAUCUAUGGAUUUAUACUUAGGUAUAAGUGGUAGGGGAGCGUUCCAUACAGCAUUGAAGGUAUACCGUAAGGAGUGCUGGAGCGUAUGGAAGUGAGAAUGCCGGUGUGAGUAGCGAGAUGUGGGUGAGAAUCCCACACACCGAACAACCAAGGUUUCCAGGGGAAGGUUCGUCCGCCCUGGGUAAGUCGGGACCUAAGGCCAGGCCGAAAGGCGUAGUCGAUGGACAGCAGGUUGAUAUUCCUGCACCCGCGAGUAAAGUGAUGGAGUGACAGAUAGGGUUAACCCAAGUCCUUAAUGGAUUGGGCAAGGCAAGCAGGAGAGUGGCGUAGGCAAAUCCGCGUCGGAUACUCAAAGGCUUGACUCAANNNNNNNNNNAUAAUUUACUAGCGGCCCGUACCAAAACCGACACAGGUGGUUGAGGCGAGUAGCCUAAGGUGAGCGAGAGAACUGUUGCCAAGGAACUCGGCAAAUUGACCCCGUACGUUAGCAAUAAGGGGUGCUCGAAAGAGCCGCAGUGAAUAGGCCCUAGCAACUGUUUAACUAAAACAUAGCUCUCUGCGAAGUCGCAAGACGAAGUAUAGGGGGUGACACCUGCCCGGUGCUGGAAGGUCAAGGGGAUUUGUCAGACGCAAGUCGAAGCAUUGAACCGAAGCCCCAGUGAACGGCGGCCGUAAC